RNAcentral lists this ribosomal RNA (468 nucleotides) under uncultured bacterium. RNAcentral's name for it is "partial 16S ribosomal RNA". It matches the Rfam family "Bacterial small subunit ribosomal RNA", at positions 28 to 507 of the family's 1533-position model. The record is from RNAcentral.
GACGAACGCUGGCGGCGUGCUUAACACAUGCAAGUCGAACGGAAAGGCCCUGCUUUUGUGGGGUGCUCGAGUGGCGAACGGGUGAGUAACACGUGAGUAACCUGCCCUUGACUUUGGGAUAACUUCAGGAAACUGGGGCUAAUACCGGAUAGGAGCUCCUGCUGCAUGGUGGGGGUUGGAAAGUUUCGGCGGUUGGGGAUGGACUCGCGGGUUAUCAGCUUGUUGGUGGGGUAGUGGCUUACCAAGGCUUUGACGGGUAGCCGGCCUGGGAGGGUGACCGGCCACAUUGGGACUGAGAUACGGCCCAGACUCCUACGGGAGGCAGCAGUGGGGAAUAUUGCACAAUGGGCGGAAGCCUGAUGCAGCAACGCCGCGUGCGGGAUGACGGCCUUCGGGUUGUAAACCGCUUUCGCCUGUGACGAAGCGUGAGUGACGGUAAUGGGUAAAGAAGCACCGGCUAACUACGUG